CUCGCAGAGCUUAUCUCCUCAGCUUCUUUUGAGUAAUCCACAUUCCCCGACCUCCACCUACUACCCAGGUAGCACGACCUCCCCGCAUCUCCCCGCCGCCACUACCUCCUGCGCCCGCCGCCGGCACUCCGCCGGAUCUCCUGCACCACCGGGCAUGGCGCGGGCUCCACACCAGCUCCCCCCACACUCCACCGGAUCUCCCGCACCACUACCGGGCCAUCCAUGGCGCAGGCUCCAACACCCGCUUCCCCCGUUUCCCCGGCCACGGCGCGGGCAUUUGGGCGUAGGCGGCCAUGCUCAUCCCAGCACCGGCCGUCUCAGUACCGUCCCGGUUUUCGUAUUCAGAUUGCUCUCUUCCCUCCUUGGCUAGGCAUCCAGUGCUGCUUUUUCUCUGGGAUGCGCUUUCUCCUCUUUGUUUGUUUGUGACAGCUGAGCCGUCUCUUCCGGUAGGUCGCGCAUCGGAAGAAGGCCGUCUCCCCCAGAAAGAAGUACCCGCGGCCUACCCUCGUCCCCGCUAUCCGCCGCCGACCGUACCUGGAUGGAUGCCUCCUAGAGGCCAAGCUUGCGCGUGGCUGCGGCAAUCCGGCUUUCUUGGCGUCAUACUCUAUCCACCAAAUGCGCAUUGGCGGUUGUGCAUUACGGCCUCUGCUUCCCUUCGUCGCGCCUGAUCCCUGAUGCAUGCCAAGGCGCCCGCGCCCUCAAGCUCCAGCACCAGCCCCGCCUUCCCGCGUCGCGCCGCAGCCCGCAUUCCUCUGCUCCGACCGCGCCCUCGCGCCUGACACCCGCGACAGCAACUCCUCCGGCCCUCGCCACACCGGCGACCACCAAGAACCCUAGUAUUUGCUUUAUUAGUAGGGAAAGAUUUACAACUAGAUCCUACUAACCACCAAGUCAAGGAACCUUGGAUCAAAACAACACAAGAAUCCCACUGCACGACACGACAGGGAUAGAUUGUGCUAGUAGAUUUACAUUCCAUACGACAGCGUAUGUCUCUCGUGUGUAAGAGCGCCUCCGACAGCAGCCGUAUAAUAACAUAGUCUAAAAACCAUACCGGAUCGGCAAUCGAUGGUUAUUUAA
Molecule: long non-coding RNA, 1077 nt
Organism: Triticum dicoccoides
Lineage: Eukaryota; Viridiplantae; Streptophyta; Magnoliopsida; Poales; Poaceae
Exons: 2
Source: RefSeq, a predicted model, not a curated record